This 456-nucleotide ribosomal RNA is filed under the name uncultured Alphaproteobacteria bacterium. RNAcentral's name for it is "bacterial SSU rRNA". It matches the Rfam family "Bacterial small subunit ribosomal RNA", at positions 8 to 510 of the family's 1533-position model. The record is from RNAcentral. Lineage: Bacteria; Pseudomonadati; Pseudomonadota; Alphaproteobacteria.
AGAGUUUGAUCCUGGCUCAGAACGAACGCUGGCGGCACGCCUAACACUUGCAAGUCGAACGAACCCUUCGGGGUGAGUGGCGCACGGGUGCGUAACGCGUGGGAACCUGCCUUUAGGUUCGGAAUAACAGUUAGAAAUGACUGCUAAUACCGGAUAAUGUCUUCGGACCAAAGAUUUAUCGCCUUUAGAUGGGCCCGCGUUAGAUUAGAUAGUUGGUGGGGUAAUGGCCUACCAAGUCGACGAUCUAUAGCUGGUCUGAGAGGAUGAUCAGCCACACUGGGACUGAGACACGGCCCAGACUCCUACGGGAGGCAGCAGUGGGGAAUAUUGGACAAUGGGCGAAAGCCUGAUCCAGCAAUGCCGCGUGGGUGAUGAAGGCCUUAGGGUUGUAAAGCUCUUUUACCAGGGAUGAUAAUGACAGUACCUGGAGAAUAAGCUCCGGCUAACUCCGUGCCA